Molecule: ribosomal RNA, 253 nt
Filed under: uncultured bacterium
Lineage: Bacteria
Description: partial 16S ribosomal RNA
Rfam family: Bacterial small subunit ribosomal RNA
Source: RNAcentral
GACGUAGGGCGCGAGCGUUGUCCGGAUUUAUUGGGCGUAAAGAGCUCGUAGGCGGUUUGUCGCGUCGGCUGUGAAAACCUGGGGCUCAACCCCGGGCCUGCAGCCGAUACGGGCAAGCUAGAAUUCGGUAGGGGAGACUGGAAUUCCUGGUGUAGCGGUGAAAUGCGCAGAUAUCAGAGGAACACCAGUGGCGAAGGCGGCCAACUGGUCCGGAACUGACGCUGAGGUGCGAAAGCGUGGGGAGCAAACAGGA